Molecule: ribosomal RNA, 253 nt
Filed under: uncultured bacterium
Lineage: Bacteria
Description: partial 16S ribosomal RNA
Rfam family: Bacterial small subunit ribosomal RNA
Source: RNAcentral
UACAGCGGAGCCAAGCGUUGUCCGGAUUGACUGGGCGUAAAGCGCACGCAGGCGGAUGCGCGCGUGGGGUGUGAAAUCUGGCCGCUUAACGGCCAGGCGCCAUCCCAUACGGCGCGUCUGGAGUGAUGCAGAGGUCGAUGGAAUUGCCGGUGUAGUGGUGAAAUGCGUAGAGAUCGGCAGGAACACCCAGGGGGAAACCAGUCGACUGGGCAUCUACUGACGCUGAGGUGCGAGAGCGUGGGGAGCGAACCGG